ACUCAAAUGAAUUGACGGGGGCCCGCACAAGCGGCGGAGCAUGUGGCUUAAUUCGACGCAACGCGAAGAACCUUACCAGGGCUUGACAUGCGGGAUGAAACCGUGGAAACACGGUGCUCUUCGGAGCCCGCACAGGUGGUGCAUGGCUGUCGUCAGCUCGUGCCGUGAGGUGUUGCCUUAAGUGGCGCAACGAGCGCAACCCCUGUCUCAUGUUGCCAGCGAGUCAUGUCGGGGACUCAUGAGAGACUGCCGGUGCCAAACCGGAGGAAGGUGGGGAUGACGUCAAGUCAUCAUGCCCCUUAUGUCCUGGGCUGCACACAUGCUACAAUGCAUAGUACAAAGGGUAGCAAUGCCGCGAGGUGGAGCGAAUCCCAAAAAGCUAUGCUCAGUUCGGAUUGGGGUCUGCAACUCGACCCCAUGAAGUCGGAGUCGCUAGUAAUCGCAGAUCAGCAACGCUGCGGUGAAUACGUUCCCGGGCCUUGUACACACCGCCCGU
RNAcentral lists this ribosomal RNA (496 nucleotides) under uncultured bacterium. Its description in RNAcentral is "partial 16S ribosomal RNA". It matches the Rfam family "Bacterial small subunit ribosomal RNA", at positions 899 to 1397 of the family's 1533-position model. The record is from RNAcentral.